CCUACGGGUGGCUGCAGUGGGGAAUAUUGGGCAAUGGGCGCAAGCCUGACCCAGCAACGCCGCGUGAAGGAAGAAGGCUUUCGGGUUGUAAACUUCUUUUGUCAGGGAAGAGUAGAAGACGGUACCUGACGAAUAAGCCAUGGCUAACUACGUGCCAGCAGCCGCGGUAAUACGGAGGUGGCAAGCGUUGUCCGGAUUUACUGGGUGUAAAGGGCGUGUAGUCGGGUUGACAAGUCAGAUGUGAAAUUCUGCGGCUUAACCGCAGAACUGCAUUUGAAACUGUUGAUCUUGAGUACUGGAGAGGCAGGCGGAAUUCCUAGUGUAGCGGUGAAAUGCGUAGAUAUUAGGAGGAACACCAGUGGCGAAGGCGGUCUGCUGGACAGCAACUGACGGUGAGGCGCGAAAGCGUGGGGAGCAAACAGGAUUAGAUACCCUUGUAGUC
This 442-nucleotide ribosomal RNA is filed under the name uncultured bacterium. RNAcentral describes it as "partial 16S ribosomal RNA". It matches the Rfam family "Bacterial small subunit ribosomal RNA", at positions 338 to 795 of the family's 1533-position model. The record is from RNAcentral.